GAUGAACGCUAGCGGGAGGCCUAACACAUGCAAGCCGAGCGGUAUUUGUUCUUCGGAACAGAGAGAGCGGCGCACGGGUGCGGAACACGUGUGCAACCUGCCUUUAUCUGGGGGAUAGCCUUUCGAAAGGAAGAUUAAUACCCCAUAAUAUAUUGAGUGGCAUCAUUUGAUAUUGAAAACUCCGGUGGAUAGAGAUGGGCACGCGCAAGAUUAGAUAGUUGGUGAGGUAACGGCUCACCAAGUCAAUGAUCUUUAGGGGGCCUGAGAGGGUGAUCCCCCACACUGGUACUGAGACACGGACCAGACUCCUACGGGAGGCAGCAGUGAGGAAUAUUGGACAAUGGGUUAGCGCCUGAUCCAGCCAUCCCGCGUGAAGGACGACGGCCCUAUGGGUUGUAAACUUCUUUUGGAUAGGGAUAAACCUAUUCUCGUGAGAGUAGCUGAAGGUACUAUACGAAUAAGCACCGGCUAACUCCGUG
This 479-nucleotide ribosomal RNA is filed under the name uncultured bacterium. RNAcentral describes it as "partial 16S ribosomal RNA". It matches the Rfam family "Bacterial small subunit ribosomal RNA", at positions 28 to 507 of the family's 1533-position model. The record is from RNAcentral.